ACGGGGGCCCGCACAAGCGGCGGAGCAUGCGGAUUAAUUCGAUGCAACGCGAAGAACCUUACCAAGGCUUGACAUACACUGGACCGUUCUGGAAACAGUUCUUCUCUUUGGAGCUGGUGUACAGGUGGUGCAUGGUUGCCGUCAGCUCGUGUCGUGAGAUGUUGGGUUAAGUCCCGCAACGAGCGCAACCCUCGUUCUAUGUUGCCAGCACGUGAUGGUGGGAACUCAUAGGAGACUGCCGGGGUCAACUCGGAGGAAGGUGGGGAUGACGUCAAAUCAUCAUGCCCUUUAUGUCUUGGGCUUCACGCAUGCUACAAUGGCUGGUACAGAGAGAGGCGAACCCGUGAGGGUAAGCGAAUCCCUUAAAGCCAGUCUCAGUUCGGAUCGUAGUCUGCAAUUCGACUACGUGAAGUCGGAGUCGCUAGUAAUCGCAGAUCAGCAACGCUGCGGUGAAUACGUUCCCGGGCCUUGUACACACCGCCCGUCAAGUCACGAAAGUCGGUAACACCCGAAGCCGGUGUCCCAACCCACUUGUGGGAGGGGGCCGUCUAAGGUGGGAC
RNAcentral lists this ribosomal RNA (560 nucleotides) under Brevibacterium sp. RNAcentral's name for it is "bacterial SSU rRNA". It matches the Rfam family "Bacterial small subunit ribosomal RNA", at positions 913 to 1468 of the family's 1533-position model. Lineage: Bacteria; Bacillati; Actinomycetota; Actinomycetes; Micrococcales; Brevibacteriaceae. The record is from RNAcentral.